GCCAAACAUCUAGCCUUACCAUCAAACCUAACCCGAUAACAUAAAUAAGAAUGCAAGACCUACCACAAUAAAUCAAACCAUUUUAAACAUCUUAGUAUGGGAGACAGAAAAGAUUCAAGAAGAGCAAUAGAGAAAGUACCGCAAGGGAAAGAUGAAAGAGAAAUGAAAUAACACAUAUAAGCGUAAAAAACCAGGGGUAAAACCCCGUACCUUUUGCAUCAUGAUUUAGCCAGCACUACUUAAGCGAAGAGAUCUUUAGUUUAAUACCCCGAAACCAGGUGAGCUACCCCGAGGCAGCCUACACAUAUAGGGCCAAUCCGUCUCUGUGGCAAAAGAGUGGAAAGAACUCCGGGUAGUGGUGACAGACCUAUCGAACCUGGUUAUAGCUGGUUGCCCAGGAAGUGAAUAGAAGUUCAGCCUAGUAUUCUCCACAUUUAAUAAAUUUAGAAAACUAAGGAAAAAAUACUAGAGUUAGUCAAGAGGGGUACAGCCCCUUUGACCAAGGACACAACCUUAACAGGAGAAUAAAGAUCAUAUUUCACAAAACAAAUUGUUUUGGUGGGCCUAAGAGCAGCCACCCAAUCAGAAAGCGUUAAAGCUCGGACAAAAUGAAGUUGAUUAUACCGACAGAAAAUCUUAAUUCCCUAAAAGUACUGGAUCGCCCCAUGCUUACAUGGGAGAGACAAUGCUAAAAUGAGUAACAAGAAGACUAGAACUUCUCCUAGCACAAGUGUAAGCCGGAUCGGACUAACCACCGGCAAAUAGCGGACCCAAAAAGAGAGGGAAUUGUGGCUCAUAAAAAGACCAAGAAAACCCCACAAUUGUCACCGUUAUCCCCACACUGGAGUGCCUAUGGGAAAGAUUAAAGGGAGGGAAAGGAACUCGGCAAGCACAAGCCUCGCCUGUUUACCAAAAACAUCGCCUCCUGCAACUUGAUUGUAUAGGAGGUCCAGCCUGCCCAGUGACUAUUAGUUCAACGGCCGCGGUAUUCUGACCGUGCAAAGGUAGCGUAAUCACUCGUCCUUUAAAUGGGGUCAAGUAUGAAAGGCUACACGAGGGCUUAACUGUCUCCCCCUCCAAAUCAGUGAAAUUGAUCUAUCCGUGCAGAAGCGGGUAUAAAAAUACAAGACGAGAAGACCCUUUGGAGCUUUAGGUACAAGACUUAACCACAUUAAGCAAAUUUAUAAGAACAAAAAUCUCAUGGAAACUAAGACUCUACCUUCGGUUGGGGCGACCACGGAGUAAAAACUAACCUCCGAGUGGACUGGGAACAUCCCUAAAGCUAAGACACUCACCUCUAAGCCGCAGAAAUUCUGACCAAGAAUGAUCCGGACAUUAUACCGAUCAACGAACCAAGUUACCCUAGGGAUAACAGCGCAAUCCUCUCCCAGAGCCCAUAUCGACGAGGGGGUUUACGACCUCGAUGUUGGAUCAGGACAUCCUAAUGGUGCAGCCGCUAUUAAGGGUUCGUUUGUUCAACGAUAAAAGUCCUACGUGAUCUGAGUUCAGACCGGAGUAAUCCAGGUCAGUUUCUAUCUGUAGAGCUAUUUCUUCCCAGUACGAAAGGACAGGAAAAGAGGGGCCUAUGCUAAAGGUACGCCCCACUCCAAAUUGAUGAAUACAAAUGAAUCAAAUAAAGGAGAGCUGCAGUAUUAAACUCUAGAUAAGAGUG
Molecule: ribosomal RNA, 1672 nt
Filed under: Raiamas steindachneri
Lineage: Eukaryota; Metazoa; Chordata; Actinopteri; Cypriniformes; Danionidae
Description: 16S rRNA
Rfam family: Bacterial large subunit ribosomal RNA (bases 98-1559)
Source: RNAcentral